UUUUUUCAUUAAUUUUGUAUUGUCAUUGAGGAGAAUAAACCCAUCAAUUCCAAAUUAUUGAAAUCAAUAUCAGGUAACAUAUGAAAUGUUGCAUGUUUUUGUUAAAUGAGGGAAUCCGAAGAUUCCACAAAUUUGAUUGUUUGUCCGUGGGACGCAAAAGUCGGAUUUAACUUUUUACAGUCUUAUCCUUCUCUUGUUUUUUUAAUAGUAUACUACAUUUGGCUUAAUUGAAUAAACAACUAACCCAAAGUAACAUACUAAGAAAAAGAGGUGUGGUAAUGAUCCUUCCGCAGGUUCACCUACGGAAA
RNAcentral lists this unclassified non-coding RNA (308 nucleotides) under uncultured fungus. RNAcentral describes it as "sequence contains ITS1". Lineage: Eukaryota; Fungi. The record is from RNAcentral.